AUGGGGUUCUUCGCUCCAUACGGCAUGGCCAUCCCUCCACCGCGCCCUGGCUGGGUGCCUCCAAACGCCGCUGGUGUCCUCGGUCCCCGUCCGGGACCUGAUGCUCAAGCGUACCCGAUGCAGUACUCGUCGUACGCCCCGCCCUCUCCAUACCAGCAGCCGUCAUGGGAUCACAUGGCCCUUCUUCACGCCGCCUAUAGCAACCAGGGCUUCAACAACACCGCCCCCUCCAACGAGUGGUACCUCGACAGUGGCGCCUCCAACCACGUCACCGGCAACCCUAGUAACCUCAACCAUUCGAUUUCUUCUUUACAACGUAAAUUCUCUAGCAUUGUAGUAGGCAAUGGCCAUCAUCUUCCCAUUCAUGCCACCGGCUCCACCUCUCUCCCUCCCCAUAAUUUCCAUCUACGCAACAUUCUUUUCUCCCCCUCCGUCACCACUAGCCUCAUCUCCGUCCGCCAAUUUACCAAAGAUAAUUUUUGUUCCAUCGAAUUUUACCCAUUUGGUUUUCUUGUGAAGGAUCUUCGAACACGGAGGGUAAUCCUAAUCUCCGCUAGCUCCGGCAACCUCUACCCGUUCUUCGGCAAUAACACGACGCGGUGUACUGCCCUCUCCGCUACCACCUCCGACGGUGAUGUGUGGCAUCGUCGCCUAGGCCACCCAAGCAAUCAAUCUUUCAACUCCAUUACUAGUGCUUUUCCCUUCCAAUGUAACAAGUCAUACAAUGGCCCUUGUACUGCUUGCCAAUUAGGGCACCAACCUAGACUACCUUUCUCCUCCUCUACUAGCCGCACUUAUGCGCCAUUUGAGCUCAUUCAUUGUGAUUUGUGGACCUCUCCGGUCGUGAGUUUC
RNAcentral lists this ribosomal RNA (852 nucleotides) under Triticum aestivum (bread wheat). RNAcentral describes it as "partial small subunit ribosomal RNA". Lineage: Eukaryota; Viridiplantae; Streptophyta; Magnoliopsida; Poales; Poaceae. The record is from RNAcentral.